UUGAAGGUGAUAGCCCUGUUUCUUCCCUGUUUUAGAUCAACCGUUCUUCUUUCUUCCUUGGAGCUGCACUGUUUUGGAUGAACUGGACUAACCCUAGAAGGGAUGAAGGUCAUCUAUGAGGUGUCUCAAGGUGAACCCCGUGGUACCCGGCCAAGUGGCUGGAGGGAAUGGGGUAUGCUCACAAGCUUGUACAGACCAAUUUGUUUCACUCGGACAAGAAUCCCACGAACCUUAAUGUGGCCUUUAA
Molecule: long non-coding RNA, 247 nt
Organism: Triticum urartu
Lineage: Eukaryota; Viridiplantae; Streptophyta; Magnoliopsida; Poales; Poaceae
Source: RefSeq, a predicted model, not a curated record